GAUUUGUGAAUUGAUGACAACGAUGACGUUCCGUAUCAGUAAUAAUAACGCUCUAUCAAGGCAUAAGAAAUCUGUUUGACCUUUUUAUGAAAUUUUGAACAUGUUUGAACAUUUGAAUAUUUUGUUCGUUCGAAAGUUGCAAGUGUCCGCAAAUUAAUAGUUUUGUAUCUAAGACAUAAUACAAAGUUUUCAGAUAGCCAGUUAAGGUUAUGGAAUAAGGUUUUUCUACACAGUGUGUAAUUUGGGCAAACGAAGAAGUAAUGGUAGACAUCCUCAAUAUCGGACCCGCAAUGGCAAGAAGGAUCAUUUAUAAUGUUAGCUCUAAAUAGGUCAUUGUUUAAGAAUGAAGCGGAACAUCGGAAUUGCGUUAAGAUAAUAU
This 379-nucleotide long non-coding RNA is filed under the name Mytilus galloprovincialis (Mediterranean mussel). Lineage: Eukaryota; Metazoa; Mollusca; Bivalvia; Mytilida; Mytilidae. The record is from RNAcentral.